Molecule: long non-coding RNA, 137 nt
Organism: Myotis davidii
Lineage: Eukaryota; Metazoa; Chordata; Mammalia; Chiroptera; Vespertilionidae
Exons: 3
Source: RefSeq, a predicted model, not a curated record
CACAAAAAUUUACACAUCUGGCGCCUCAAUGGGACAUCUGGAAGAGUAGACUUUGCCUAGAGUGAAAAAAUGAAGAUUCACCUGCAAGGUGGGAAAGAAUUCACCGUAUAGGUGGGGAGAUAUUUCACCACAUGCAA